This is a long non-coding RNA of Acanthopagrus latus (yellowfin seabream), 440 nucleotides long. RefSeq lists it as uncharacterized. The transcript is spliced from 3 exons. NCBI's taxonomy places the organism in Eukaryota, Metazoa, Chordata, Actinopteri, Spariformes, Sparidae. The record is from RefSeq and is a predicted model, not a curated record.
UGGGAUUGGAAAUACUGCUGUAGUGCUGAUUAUAUAAUGCGACGAGCUUGAGUCAACUCUCAGCGGCGCGUAUUUCAUCGUUUCGAGAUUUCAAGCCAGGGUCUCAGUUGUUGAAGUACCGUUUGCGACCAGCUGGGGGAGACAAAAGACAAGCUGUCCCCACCAUCACUCCCACUGACCUUGUGGUUUUGGCUGCAGUCAGGCUGACAUCAUUACCUGGCCUUGCAUCAUCCUCCUCACCAGUGAAGGGGAAAAGGUUAAAUACCCAUGCUACGCUAUUAGCUAAUCCGUUCCAGUUGGACCAGAGGAUCUGCGAGGACAUCUGCAUUAUGACGAGAUAAAGAUGGGGACCUAUAAACAAGCCUCCCUGCUCGCACAAUAAUGGAGGAGGAGACACUUUCCCACAUUGCAGAUGAUACUAAAACUAACAAUCUUGUAUU